This 240-nucleotide ribosomal RNA is filed under the name Diversispora sp. RNAcentral's name for it is "partial small subunit ribosomal RNA". The stretch from base 48 to 240 matches the Rfam family "Eukaryotic small subunit ribosomal RNA", at positions 693 to 886 of the family's 1831-position model. Lineage: Eukaryota; Fungi; Glomeromycota; Glomeromycetes; Diversisporales; Diversisporaceae. The record is from RNAcentral.
GGGUCUACCCAUUGGUCAGGCUUAAUUGUCUGCACUGGUGAGAUGGAUCUCUACCUUCUGAGGAACUUUCAUGCCAUUUAUUUGGUGUGAUGGGAAAUCAGGACUGUUACUUUGAAAAAAUUAGAGUGUUUAAAGCAGACUAUCGUCUGAAUACAUUAGCAUGGAAUAAUGAAAUAGGACGGACUGAUUCUAUUUCGUUGGUUUCUAGGAUCACCGUAAUGAUUAAUAGGGAUAGUUGGG